GGGGGCGAGAUUUAAGUUGGCAAGACUAAGUAUGUAGAACGCUUUGUAGAGGACUUUCGGACGGGGGUUCGAUUCCCCCCGCCUCCACCA
Molecule: transfer RNA, 90 nt
Filed under: Eikenella sp. NML03-A-027
Lineage: Bacteria; Pseudomonadati; Pseudomonadota; Betaproteobacteria; Neisseriales; Neisseriaceae
Description: tRNA-Leu
Rfam family: transfer-messenger RNA
About the family: Bacterial tmRNA, also known as 10Sa RNA or SsrA, is named for its dual tRNA and mRNA-like properties. Its role is to liberate the mRNA from a stalled ribosome.
Source: RNAcentral